Dendrobium catenatum is the source of this 3283-nucleotide RNA transcript. It is a transcript of the gene named transcriptional repressor ILP1, with no coding region annotated. The record is from RefSeq and is a predicted model, not a curated record. Lineage: Eukaryota; Viridiplantae; Streptophyta; Magnoliopsida; Asparagales; Orchidaceae. The transcript has 3 exons.
UUCCCAAUCGAGAAAUUUUAUUUGGGGGUAAGUUGUUCAGCUGGAAUACGGAGAAGUGAGUUUUUGUUUAUUUUUUUCUCGUUCUAAAGAAUCAGAAGAGAAGAAAAUCUUUAAGACGAGCGCGAAGACGGCGAAAACUGCGAAAUCGGCGUCGAGAACAGAAAUUGAAGAACAGAAAACAGAUGAGCAGCAGCAGGGUGAAGAACUUCCGGCGGCGGUCGGAGGACAACGACGUAAAGGGCGAAGACAAAGCAUCCCCUCGCCCUGCCGCAGCUUCGACGACUUCUGGCAGAUCCCAAACCCUAAACGCAAACGCAAUUAAACCCAAAAUCCCAAAACCUGAAGGGCCAAAGCGCCUAAGUUUCGCCGAUGAAGAGGAAGAUGACAGCCCCGGCAUCACAAUCACAGUGCGUACUUCUGCUAGAACUCCGGCUUCCGGAGGCAACUCCAUUCACAAGAUCACAUCUUCCCGUGACCGCUCGACCGCGAACACCCCUCACAUCCCCUCUAAUGUCCAGCCGCAGAGCGGGGAGUACACAAAGGAAAAGCUUUUGGAGCUGCAGAAAAACGCACGUCCGCUUGGCGGAAGCAUGUCCAAGCCCCAGAAAACGAAUCCCCUUUCUGAGCCCGUUAUUGUCCUCAAAGGUAUGGUGAAGCCAAUGCCGCCUCAACCUCCUCCGCACCAGAAGCAAGAGGAAGAGGAAGCCGAGGAGGAUCAGGAGAGUUUUGCAACUCUUGAUGGAAAACCGAAGGUCUCAUCUGCAAUCCCUGACCAAGCUACUAUCAAUGCCAUAAGGGCAAAAAGGGAGCGGCUGAGACAGUCCAGAGGUCCAGCGCCUGAUUACAUCUCUCUAGAUUCCGGUGGAGUUUUGGCUAGCCGGACUUCUGGUGGUGGAUCGAGUGAUGAUGAGGACAAUGACUUCCAAAGCAGGAUUGCAUUGUUUGGCGAGAAGGACGGUAAAGUAAAGAAAGGUGUUUUUGAGGAAAUUGAUGUAAGGGUGGAUGCCUUUGUGGAGAAGGUAGUGGAUGAAGAAGAUGAGGAAGAGAGGAGAUGGGAAGAAGAGCAGUUCCGGAAAGGUUUGGGAAAGAGAUUUGAUGAUGCAUCUGCUCAGGUGGGUGCUAACAAAGUCAUUCAGACCCCAUCCCUCCAGCCAGCACUGGCUGUUCCUUUGAGCACAGUCGCUGGUGUUGGUUUAGGCAGUGAGGCCAUGUCGAUUCCUCAGCAGGCUGCUGUUGCUACCCGAGCUCUGGCGGAUAACAUUGGCAAGCUCAAGGACAGCCAUAAUAGAACCCUGGCUUCACUGGUCAGGAAUGAUGAGAACCUCUCGGAAGCCUUGUCUAACAUCACUACUCUUGAGAAGUCUCUCCAAGAUGCUGAUGAAAGAUAUACAUUCAUGCAACAACUUCGUGAAUUCAUAUCAGUAACAUGCGAUUUCUUAAAGGACAAAGCUUCUUUGAUUGAGGAAUUGGAAGAAGAGAUGCAGAAGUUACAUGAGCAGAGGGCUGCUGUGGUUGAGGAAAGAAGAGAUGCUGAUAUUGCUGAUGAGAAUGUUGGGUUAGAGGCUGCAGUAAGUGCAGCACGCUCGGUUCUAGAUAGAGGUUCUAGCUCUGCUUAUAUAGCUGCAGCGUCCACUGCAGCUCAGGCUUCUCUGGCAGCUGGCCGAGAAAGUUCAAGCUUGCCUGUUCAGUUCGAUGAGUAUGGCAGGGAUGUCAACCUACAGAAGCGUAUGGAUUUUGUUAGGAGGGCUGAUGCUAGAAAGUGCAGAAAAGCUCAGGCUGAGGCUAAGAGGUUGUCUUUCAUUGCAAAGGGAGUUGGUGAAUCUCAGCAGAUUGAAGGUGAGGUGUCCAGUGAUGAAAGUGAUAGUGAAAUUAGUGCUUAUCAGUCCAGUAGGAAUGAGUUGCUCCAAACGGCUGAACAAGUUUUUAGUGAUGCAGCUGAUGAAUAUUCCAAUCUUUCAGUUGUCAAGGAAAGACUUGAAAGGUGGAAGAAAUGCUAUCUUCCUAGUUAUCAAGAUGCAUACAUGUCUCUAAGCGCACCAUCUAUAUUUUCUCCUUAUGUGAGACUAGAGCUUCUGAAGUGGGAUCCUUUGUAUAAGACAAUGGAUUUCUUUGACAUGGAGUGGCACAAGGUGUUGUUGGAUUUUGGUUCAACUGGAGGAAAAAUUGACUUUGAACCAGAGGAUAAAGAUGCUAACCUUAUCCCUAUUUUGGUGGAAAAGGUUGCUCUUCCAAUACUGCACCAUGACAUUGCUCACUGUUGGAAUUUAUUCAGCACUCGGAGGACAGAAAAUGCAGUUUUUGCUACCAAUUUAAUCAUUAGCUAUGUCCCCCCUACAAGCAAGGCCCUCCUAGAGUUAUUAGAAGUUGUGCGUAGCCGUCUUACAGAAGCCAUUGCCAAUAUUAGUAUUCCAGUAUGGAAUGCAACAGUGAUGAGUGUAGUUCCAGGUGCUGCACAGUUUGCAGCUUAUCGAUUUGGAACCUCCAUACGCUUACUGAGAAAUAUUUGCUUGUGGAAGGAUAUCCUUGCAUUGCCAGUUCUAGAGAAAUUGGCACUUCAGGAGCUUUUGAUUGGGAAGCUUCUGCCUCAUGUGAGAACCAUCAUGUCAAGUGUUCAUGAUGCAAUUACUAGGACAGAGAGGAUAGUGGCUUCUCUUGCAGGAGUUUGGCAUGGUCCGAAUGUGACAGCAGACCAUGGUCAAAGGCUGCAGCCUUUGGUUGAUUUUGUGUCUGAAAUAGGGAGAGAGUUGGAGAGAAGGCUUGCUUCAGGUGUUAGUGGUGAGGAGACAUUGGGUUUGGCUCGUCGGCUGAAAACAAUGUUGGUUCAGCUCAAUCAGUACGAUAGAGCUAGGAUCAUGUUGAAGGUCUUUCAUCUCAAAGAAGCUCUUUGAUUAUUUAUUUUCAGACGUUCUAGUGAAACUUUGUAUUUUUACCAGAAGUUGCUAUAAGGCACUUUUAUGCCACAGAAAACAUGAAUUUCUUGUAGCAGAGUAUUCCUUCUACAAGUGAGAUGGUAUUUGCAGAUUGCAAGGCCUUUGACGAUUUACAGAUCAACAGGAUGGUGAUAUAUUAUAUUUGAUGCUUCUUGUGCUUCUACUCUUCAUUUUUUGAUGGGCAAAGAGAAGGGAGCAGUUCUUCAGCAUAGGAAACAUCAUACAUGUAACUUACGCUAUGAGAUGGGUUGAAUUUUUAUUUUUUUUUCGUAAGGUUUUUGUUCAACCUGGAUGAUUUAUGUAUUUCAUAAAGUAUGAUUUUGUCAAGAGUCCACCUGCUUGGUUAUGCGCCA